GCUAUAAAAUUCUGAGACUAAAUAUCAAAUUAAAGAAAGCACUAAUUGUCAGCGAUGGGGGAUGUACUGCUAUUUUCUUCUAGUGGUACUCACUGCUCAUUUCCUAUAUUCACUGGUAUAAAAAAAUUUCAAACACCCUCAAAAAAGCCUAUACUGGUGGUACCACAAAAACGCUGAAAAUCAUUACUCUCUGCGUGGUGUCCAGCUCUUUUGGUUACAUCAUCACUUCGACCAUUCACUUUUAAAGAAAAACUUUUGUGGAACAAAAAUGUAAAGAUUUUAUUUUUUUUCUUGGUGGCUUAGCACAGUGGUCUAAUGUGGCUGACCAUGUGCGCCUGUUGUGUGAGUCACUUAGACGUGCUUUGUUUCUUGGUCACAGUUGAUCCCUCAACUCAAGCAUCUCACCCUCAAAAUGUUUGUUUGGGACCCAAGAGGCAAACCUUGAGACGGGUUAUUUCUUUCACCUUGGAUUGGCUCAUCUGCUGGGAGUGGAGCCAAGCUGACAUUUCCUUUCCUUUCUCUCCUUUCUUUCCUUUUUGUCUGCCUAUCACUAGGUAGAGGCAGCACAUAAGAGAGGGAAAGCCAUGCGCGUGGAGUCCAGCACAUCACCCAGAAGGCAGAUGUUCUGUCUCCAUUUUACUCAUGAAAAGAAACAAAACCACACCUGGAUUGCCUGGCACUUAAAUAAAAUGUACUAUGAUGAUUGAAGAAAAAUC
This 716-nucleotide long non-coding RNA is filed under the name Pan troglodytes (chimpanzee). RNAcentral describes it as "lincRNA". Lineage: Eukaryota; Metazoa; Chordata; Mammalia; Primates; Hominidae. The record is from RNAcentral.